GGAGAUUUAGCUCAGUGGCACAGUGCCUGCCUGGUAAGCACGAGGUCCUGAGUUCGAUCCCUGGUACCCCCC
Molecule: non-coding RNA, 72 nt
Organism: Heterocephalus glaber (naked mole-rat)
Lineage: Eukaryota; Metazoa; Chordata; Mammalia; Rodentia; Bathyergidae
Source: Rfam